This 28-nucleotide non-coding RNA is filed under the name Rattus norvegicus (Norway rat). Lineage: Eukaryota; Metazoa; Chordata; Mammalia; Rodentia; Muridae. The record is from RNAcentral.
UCGAUGAUUAGGGAUGCUCUAAGUUUUA